Non-coding RNA from Caenorhabditis elegans, 105 nucleotides. NCBI's taxonomy places the organism in Eukaryota, Metazoa, Nematoda, Chromadorea, Rhabditida, Rhabditidae. The record is from Ensembl.
AUCAUCGUCAUCGUGUGUGUAUAUUUGCUCUCUUCUGUUUUGAGGCUAUUCGGACAUCCAGGUUCUUCCUGUCUUGAUCGUCUAGCUUUUUUGUAGUUUGUAGUU